Molecule: long non-coding RNA, 1143 nt
Organism: Harmonia axyridis
Lineage: Eukaryota; Metazoa; Arthropoda; Insecta; Coleoptera; Coccinellidae
Exons: 2
Source: RefSeq, a predicted model, not a curated record
UCUAAAAAUAAAUUUUAGGCGGGAAGACUCGACGACAAUGUUUUUAUUAUCAAUUAUCGUGGAAAGAUGCGAUAAUUGCGAUCCUUAUUUCAUCAACUUUCUGUAUUUUGAUUAGGGCACUAAUAUAGCUGUGAUUGAUUAAUAGGUACUGACAUGUUAGUUUGAAUUAUGGAUCCUAUUAGUUUUUCUGGAGACGACGAUAAUAUAAUUGAAUUCCAAAAAAUACCUUGCAAUUCAAAAAGGAACAAGAAGAGAGAUGGACAUCAUUUUUUUCGAAACAUUCAGUUGAUAUGGACUUGGAGUCUAUUCCAUCUGUUGGUAUAUAUGAAGUCCGAAAUGACUUCGAUUCAAAAAGCGAUGAGAACUCCUCAGUUGACCAAUCUGACGAAAUAAUUGAAUGCAAAAACAAUGUAGAAGUAGCAAAUGUGAGUAAAAAUAAUAGAAAAAAAGGGUUUUCUUAAAAAGUACCUACAGUAAUAAGGGUAAAUGAUGAAAAAACUGAUUCCUUGCUUGAGCAGUCUGAAGAAAUAAUUAAAUCAGAAAGUCAUGAAGUACUUGAAAAUAUUGAAACUAUCAAGAAAAAUAAACUACCUAAAAUAGUUCCUAAAAAUAAAAUAAUAGGGUCAGAUAUAUUACCAGUCAAUGCAAUUGAAAAAAGCAAUACAAACUUUAUUGUCGAACAAUCGAAAAGAAUCAUUGAAACUGAAAGCAAUGACGGAGAAAAUGUAGGAAAAAAGAACAAUAAAAAGGAGGUCUGUCAAAUGAUAUCUACAGUUACAAAUAGUUAUUCUAAAGGAUGUGGAUAUCAAAUUGGUCCUAUUUCAAUCAUUAAUUCUUAAUUUUUAUUGAUGUUGUAAUGGAUGCUUAUAAAUGUUGAAAGAGUAAUACAAACACAUUUAUCUGAAGCAAGUGAUGAAAAUUGAAAACGACUUCUUCCUAGUGAAGAUCAUAUAAUGAAGAAAGAAAGUUGAAGGCCUAAACUGUUUUAUAAUGUUUACUUGGGUCCAUCGAGUGGAGUUGAGUAUAUUCAAUAUCAAUAUCAAAUAUAUCAAAUAUGGAACUUAUGUUUAUUUUGUAAGAAUUCAGUGUAUAAUGUCUCAUUUUUUUAUGUUUUCCUAAUAAAACUUCAUUUUUCAAUUAUUA